GAUGAACGCUGGCGGCGUGCCUAAUACAUGCAAGUCGAGCGAACGGACGAGAAGCUUGCUUCUCUGAUGUUAGCGGCGGACGGGUGAGUAACACGUGGAUAACCUACCUAUAAGACUGGGAUAACUUCGGGAAACCGGAGCUAAUACCGGAUAAUAUUUUGAACCGCAUGGUUCAAAAGUGAAAGACGGUCUUGCUGUCACUUAUAGAUGGAUCCGCGCUGCAUUAGCUAGUUGGUAAGGUAACGGCUUACCAAGGCAACGAUGCAUAGCCGACCUGAGAGGGUGAUCGGCCACACUGGAACUGAGACACGGUCCAGACUCCUACGGGAGGCAGCAGUAGGGAAUAUUCCGCAAUGGGCGAAAGCCUGACGGAGCAACGCCGCGUGAGUGAUGAAGGUCUUCGGAUCGUAAAACUCUGUUAUUAGGGAAGAACAUAUGUGUAAGUAACUGUGCACAUCUUGACGGUACCUAAUGAGAAAGCCACGGCUAACUACGUG
Molecule: ribosomal RNA, 497 nt
Filed under: uncultured bacterium
Lineage: Bacteria
Description: partial 16S ribosomal RNA
Rfam family: Bacterial small subunit ribosomal RNA
Source: RNAcentral